Molecule: long non-coding RNA, 2181 nt
Organism: Mytilus californianus (California mussel)
Lineage: Eukaryota; Metazoa; Mollusca; Bivalvia; Mytilida; Mytilidae
Exons: 2
Source: RefSeq, a predicted model, not a curated record
AAGAGCUUGUCUCACAGAAAACCAUGCAAAAUUUGAAAAAUCGUCCAGGAGGGUGGUUAAAACUUUUCCAGCUAAUGAAGUUUUUUGAUAUCUUAGGUUCAAUGGAAACCAGAAAAUAUGUUUUAGACUUCUCUGAAUUGUGUCUAUUUUUAGUAACAAGCUAAUUUGCAUAAUUGAAUAAAAUUAGCUAAAAAAAACCUUCAAAUAUAUGUUUAGUUGAAAGUACUUUAAAAGUCAUCAAAUUAGUUCUAUUGGGUUUCUAGUCAUUUAUAUUGUGGAAAUAGAUAUGAAAGAUCAUAAAUUAUGCAUUUAUAAAGCAUUUUCUAUUUUUUGGCACACUGAAAGGGUGCUCUCUUUAAUGCCUUAUUUUGUAUAUGUCAUUUACUAGCCAAGUUCAAGUCACUGGUUUUCGAAAAGGUGAGCACAUAAAUACAUGAAAUAAAUUUCUUUACACACCUUUUUAUUGGAUUAAAAAAAUAUAAAAAAUCCACCCAUGGCAAAUUAGUAGAAAUAGCCUUAUUUUUAACUCUAAAAACCCACCUCAAGCCUUUUCCCACAUUUUUUACUAAACUAGUUUUGGGUAUAUAUCAAACAAAAUAUGAUGUUAUUAUCAUUUUACAUGUUCAAUUUUGAACAUUUCAAAGAUUUUAUUCAGAUAAGAUACUUUGCAAAUGUAUAACAUCUGAAUAAAUAAGAUAUUGUAACUUUCAUUAAAUAAUUGUUAUCAAGAGUUAUCUCCCUGUAAAUUGUUCUCCAUAAGACUAUAAAGAAGGUAACUGCUCAUAUGCAGACCUCCCUGACACUAGCAACUAACUUACUAAGCCUUUUUGUGUUAGUAGGACCUUACCUAAGCUCUUUGAGUGGCAUAAAGAUACAUCACACUUUGUAUUGAUGUCAAUAUUGCAAUAUGAAGAGAAAAUUCUUGAGUAUUCUCACAUUUUGUCAGCUCAGUGCUUCUGCACGAAAAUGUCCUGUCACUGAGUGUCAGAUAUAAUAGAAACGUAGAGCUGACACAGAGAGAUUAUGUUGAGGUGAAGAGAAGAAGGAAUUUAGUUUGCUGUUGCUAUUAUGACCACAACGAACGUCAAGUUAAAAGCAGGUCUUGGACUUCCGUACAGAAAACUGAACAGACACAUACAGCAUGUAAACUACAGCAGGUCGUCCAGGCUAUUCAGUGAGCACAUACUUCCGAAGCUAUUCAUUGCUAGAGCAGUAUAACUGAUAUGUACAAUGUACAAGAAAACAAGCCGCCUAUGAAUGAAAUUUCAACAGUCAAAGCUACUUACCGUUUAGCAUGAUGCACAUGUUAAUUUUUUUCUGUGCAUGUCCUGAUCUGCAUAAAUCAUGAUAGAAGUUGUGGAGAAAUUUCAUACUUGAAAAAACAUGUACAAAAUGUUUCAAAAGGAUAGAAAUUAUAGUACAUGUUUAAUAGGAUAGGACAAGACUGAAUUUCCAGGCUUCAAAGUGCAAAUAUUCAUGUGUGGAUAUGGUGGAUAUAUUGAACUUAGCAGUUAUGUAGGAUACUGAAUAAAAUGUCAGCAGAUAUUCAGAAAAUGGAGUUGGAAAGGCUACAUAGCAGUAAGAGAAAAGUAUUAAGAUUCACACUGCAAGUCCAAAACUACUUAUACAUGUAUCUGUGAAGCUGGUGUAGAACUGGAAAAAUUCCAUAUUUUAUGUAAUCAUGGUAUUUAGUCAUAAUCAUGAUAAUCAUGAUUAUAAUGAAGCUCCAAAUUACAUAAACUGCAAUAGUUGCCCAAGUUGGAUAAUUUGUUAAAAAGGAAACCGAUUAACAACUUAAAAAACUAAAAGAAUCAAUGCAUACUUUCUGUACGAAAAAUCAGAGACCUCAACCACCUACAGUUAGUUUCUGAAAAUGAAAGUGAAUAAGUGACGAUAGAGAGAACCUACCCAAAAUAAGAAUUAUGCUAGUCAUGAUAGAUAUUAGAUGUGUUGAUCUUGUUUUUGUGAAUAUACAAUGAGAAUUAUAAGCCAGAAUGGAAGUGACAAUUCAUAGAAUAGUACAAAGACAAAGAUAUUGCUACUUUUGCUGUAAAUUGAAAGUUGAUCAGUUUUUGCCAAGUCAGCUGGUAUCAAUGAUUUUAUGAACUAUAAAUUCUAUAAUCAUGAUAAUGAUUAAUCAUUUGAAUGUCAUUAUGGGCUAUUAAAAAGAAAUGUAAAGGA